GAGUUUGAUCAUGGCUCAGAGUGAACGCUGGCGGCAGGCCUAACACAUGCAAGUCGAGCGGCAGCGCGGGGGCAACCCUGGCGGCGAGCGGCGGACGGGUGAGGAAUGCAUCGGAAUCUACCUCGUUGUGGGGGAUAACCUCGGGAAACCGGGACUAAUACCGCAUACGACCUACGGGUGAAAGUGGGGGACCGCAAGGCCUCACGCGAUGAGAUGAGCCGAUGCCGGAUUAGCUAGUUGGCGGGGUAAAGGCCCACCAAGGCGACGAUCCGUAGCUGGUCUGAGAGGAUGAUCAGCCACACUGGAACUGAGACACGGUCCAGACUCCUACGGGAGGCAGCAGUGGGGAAUAUUGGACAAUGGGCGCAAGCCUGAUCCAGCCAUGCCGCGUGUGUGAAGAAGGCCUUCGGUUGUAAGC
Molecule: ribosomal RNA, 418 nt
Filed under: uncultured Gammaproteobacteria bacterium
Lineage: Bacteria; Pseudomonadati; Pseudomonadota; Gammaproteobacteria
Description: bacterial SSU rRNA
Rfam family: Bacterial small subunit ribosomal RNA
Source: RNAcentral